RNAcentral lists this ribosomal RNA (257 nucleotides) under uncultured bacterium. RNAcentral describes it as "partial 16S ribosomal RNA". It matches the Rfam family "Bacterial small subunit ribosomal RNA", at positions 524 to 781 of the family's 1533-position model. The record is from RNAcentral.
UACAGAGGGUGCAAGCAUUAAUCGGAAUUAUUGGGCGUAAAGGGCGCGUAGGCGGAUUUGUAAGUCAGAUGUGAAAUUCCGGGCUCAACCUCGGAGCUGCAUUUGAAACUGUGAGUCUAGAGGGUUGACGGAGAAAACGGAAUUCCAUGUGUAGCGGUGAAAUGCGUAGAUAUAUGGAAGAACACCAGUGGCGAAAGCGGUUUUCUAGUUAAUACCUGACGCUGAGGCGCGAGAGCAAGGGGAGCAAACAGGAUUAG